GAAAAAAUAGCUUAAGCCAGGUAAAGCGUUGGCCUGUCACGUCAAAGAGUGUGGGUUCGAGUCCCAUUUUUUUCG
This 75-nucleotide transfer RNA is filed under the name Eunotia naegelii. RNAcentral describes it as "tRNA-Asp". It matches the Rfam family "tRNA". From Rfam's summary of the family: Transfer RNA (tRNA) molecules are approximately 80 nucleotides in length. Their secondary structure includes four short double-helical elements and three loops (D, anti-codon, and T loops). The record is from RNAcentral. Lineage: Eukaryota; Bacillariophyta; Bacillariophyceae; Eunotiales; Eunotiaceae.